RNAcentral lists this ribosomal RNA (475 nucleotides) under uncultured organism. RNAcentral's name for it is "partial 16S ribosomal RNA". It matches the Rfam family "Bacterial small subunit ribosomal RNA", at positions 335 to 801 of the family's 1533-position model. The record is from RNAcentral.
ACUCCUACGGGAGGCAGCAGUGGGGAAUUUUGGACAAUGGGCGAAAGCCUGAUCCAGCAAUGCCGCGUGCAGGAUGAAGGCCUUCGGGUUGUAAACUGCUUUUGUACGGAACGAAAAAGCUCCUUCUAAUACAGGGGGCCCAUGACGGUACCGUAAGAAUAAGCACCGGCUAACUACGUGCCAGCAGCCGCGGUAAUACGUAGGGUGCGAGCGUUAAUCGGAAUUACUGGGCGUAAAGCGUGCGCAGGCGGUUAUGUAAGACAGAUGUGAAAUCCCGGGGCUCAACCUGGGAACUGCAUUUGUGACUGCAUGGCUAGAGUACGGUAGAGGGGGAUGGAAUUCCGCGUGUAGCAGUGAAAUGCGUAGAUAUGCGGAGGAACACCGAUGGCGAAGGCAAUCCCCUGGACCUGUACUGACGCUCAUGCACGAAAGCGUGGGGAGCAAACAGGAUUAGAAACCCGGGUAGUCCCAUGAU